AGUGAACGCUGGCGGUAGGCCUAACACAUGCAAGUCGAACGGCAGCACAGUAAGAGCUUGCUCUUACGGGUGGCGAGUGGCGGACGGGUGAGGAAUACAUCGGAAUCUACUUUUUCGUGGGGAUAACGUAGGGAAACUUACGCUAAUACCGCAUACGACCUACGGGUGAAAGCAGGGGAUCUUCGGACCUUGCGCGAUUGAAUGAGCCGAUGUCGGAUUAGCUAGUUGGCGGGGUAAAGGCCCACCAAGGCGACGAUCCGUAGCUGGUCUGAGAGGAUGAUCCGCCACACUGGAACUGGGACACGGUCCAGACUCCUACGGGAGGCAGCAGUGGGGAAUAUUGGACAAUGGGCGCAAGCCUGAUCCAGCCAUACCGCGUGGGUGAAGAAGGCCUUCGGGUUGUAAAGCCCUUUUGUUGGGAAAGAAAAGCAGCAGGUUAAUACCCCGCUGUUCUGACGGUACCCAAAGAAUAAGCCCCGGCUAACUUCGUG
This 491-nucleotide ribosomal RNA is filed under the name uncultured bacterium. Its description in RNAcentral is "partial 16S ribosomal RNA". It matches the Rfam family "Bacterial small subunit ribosomal RNA", at positions 29 to 507 of the family's 1533-position model. The record is from RNAcentral.